GCAAACUUGGUCAUUUAGAGGAAGUAAAAGUCGUAACAAGGUUUCCGUAGGUGAACCUGCGGAAGGAUCAUUAUUGAAAGUAAAAUGUAGUUGGUUGAGCUGGCUCCUCUGGGGUAUGUGCUCGCCUUCUGCGCUUUCUACUCAUCCACCUGUGCACUCAUGUAGACAGUAAUGCUGACAAUCUCCUCGCAAGGGGAGGAUGGGAUUCUUGUGCCUUGAAUGACGCUUGAAUCUGAUAGCUUACUUGUCUAUGUACCUAUACACACUUUUGAUAAACUUUGAAUGUAUGUAUUUAUUGGUCUUUGACCUUUAAACAAUAUACAACUUUCAGCAACGGAUCUCUUGGCUCUCGCAUCGAUGAAGAACGCAGC
This 371-nucleotide unclassified non-coding RNA is filed under the name uncultured fungus. RNAcentral describes it as "partial contains small subunit ribosomal RNA, internal transcribed spacer 1, and 5.8S ribosomal RNA". The stretch from base 1 to 73 matches the Rfam family "Eukaryotic small subunit ribosomal RNA", at positions 1759 to 1831 of the family's 1831-position model. Lineage: Eukaryota; Fungi. The record is from RNAcentral.